UACGGAGGGGGCAAGCGUUGUCCGGAUUUAUUGGGCUUAAAGGGUGCGUAGGCGGGGUCUCAAGUCUGGUUUGAAAGUUAGCUGCUCAACAGUUAGACGUGGCUGGAAACUGGGAUUCUGGAAUGGGUUGGCGGCGGCCGGAACGGGUCAUGUAGCGGUGAAAUGCAUAGAUAUGACCCAGAACACCGAUUGCGAAGGCAGGCAGCUGCGACCUGAUUGACACUGAGGCACGAGAGCAUGGGUAGCAAACAGG
RNAcentral lists this ribosomal RNA (253 nucleotides) under uncultured bacterium. Its description in RNAcentral is "partial 16S ribosomal RNA". It matches the Rfam family "Bacterial small subunit ribosomal RNA", at positions 524 to 776 of the family's 1533-position model. The record is from RNAcentral.